This 258-nucleotide non-coding RNA is filed under the name Lentilactobacillus parafarraginis. Its description in RNAcentral is "Lactobacillus parafarraginis T-box sequence". It matches the Rfam family "T-box leader". Rfam says of the family: Uncharged tRNA acts as the effector for transcription antitermination of genes in the T-box leader family. T-boxes are found upstream of many aminoacyl-tRNA synthetase genes and some amino acid biosynthetic genes usually in Gram-positive bacteria. The anticodon of a specific tRNA base pairs to a specifier sequence within the T-box motif, and the NCCA acceptor tail of the tRNA base pairs to a conserved bulge in the T-box antiterminator hairpin. The record is from RNAcentral. Lineage: Bacteria; Bacillati; Bacillota; Bacilli; Lactobacillales; Lactobacillaceae.
AGAAAAGCGAUGAAGAGCGGGAGUAGAUUGGCCGUCGUGUUUAGAGAGUUUCCGGUUGGUGAAAGGAAACCACGGUGGGUAAUUGAAAGUAGGCUCGGAGCUGUAGAUGCGAUCCCUGAGUGUUUACUGGAUGCCACCAUUACAAGGCCAACGACUACAAUUCAUUGAAUUGUGUUCGUUAAGAUCAGGUUGAAUUUGAUAAUUGAACUUGAUAAAUCAAGGUGGUACCGUGCAUCGAUAUUAAAAUGCGCCCUUCGA